This 459-nucleotide ribosomal RNA is filed under the name uncultured bacterium. RNAcentral's name for it is "partial 16S ribosomal RNA". It matches the Rfam family "Bacterial small subunit ribosomal RNA", at positions 338 to 795 of the family's 1533-position model. The record is from RNAcentral.
CCUACGGGAGGCAGCAGUGAGGAAUAUUGGUCAAUGGGCGCGAGCCUGAACCAGCCAAGUCGCGUGAGGGAAGACGGUCCUAUGGAUUGUAAACCUCUUUUGUCGGGGAGCAAAAGACACCACGCGUGGCGUUCCGAGAGUACCCGAAGAAAAAGCAUCGGCUAACUCCGUGCCAGCAGCCGCGGUACUACGGAGGAUGCGAGCGUUAUCCGGAUUUAUUGGGUUUAAAGGGUGCGCAGGCGGAAGAUCAAGUCAGCUGUAAAAUCGCGCGGCUCAACCGCGCCCCGCAGUUGAAACUGGACGCCUUGAGUUCACAACAGGCAGGCGGAAUUCGUGGUGUAGCGGUGAAAUGCAUAGAUAUCACGAGGAACCCCGAUUGCGAAGGCAGCCUGCCGGGGUGCGACUGACGCUGAGGCUCGAAGGUGCGGGUAUCAAACAGGAUUAGAUACCCCUGUAGUC